RNAcentral lists this unclassified non-coding RNA (253 nucleotides) under uncultured Planctomycetales bacterium. RNAcentral describes it as "contains 16S-23S intergenic spacer region". It matches the Rfam family "Bacterial small subunit ribosomal RNA", at positions 524 to 776 of the family's 1533-position model. The record is from RNAcentral. Lineage: Bacteria; Pseudomonadati; Planctomycetota; Planctomycetia; Planctomycetales.
CACGAACCGGGCGAACGUUGUUCGGAAUCACUGGGCUUAAAGGGUGCGUAGGCGGCCGACCCAGUCGGAUGUGAAAGUCCUCGGCUCAACCGAGGAAUGGCGUCCGAUACUGGUCGGCUUGAGGAAGGUAGGGGUCUGCGGAACUUCCGGUGGAGCGGUGAAAUGUGUUGAGAUCGGAAGGAACGCCGGCGGCGAAAGCGGCAGACUGGGCCUUCCCUGACGCUGAGGCACGAAAGCCAGGGGAGCGAACGGG